This 376-nucleotide long non-coding RNA is filed under the name Carica papaya (papaya). Its description in RNAcentral is "long non-coding RNA (CPAP_LNC016519)". The record is from RNAcentral. Lineage: Eukaryota; Viridiplantae; Streptophyta; Magnoliopsida; Brassicales; Caricaceae.
AGGCACCGGAUUAUACUGCGGCGGUGGUGCCGGGUGGUACUGUGGAGGAACAGGCUCUUGCCGGGGUGGCUCGGGAUUCGCCCGCUCUAGCGGUGGCCCAAACUGUGGUAGUGGGGGAGGGUCGGGUAAUUCCCUUCCCUCCUCUCAACCUUGUUGAGCAGCCAUGAUCCUUUCAAGCAUCUCAAAUAUUCUGUCAACAUCCUCCCGAAGCGAAUCAUCCCGGGCUGCUCGGUUUAGUGGGGGUCUCCCUCUCCUCAUCUCUCUGCACCUGCAUUUCACAAGGAAGGGAUGAGUAAUAAUUUUCAGUUUGCUAUUCCUCUAAGUAUUAUUGUGUAAGGGACGGGUCCGAGGAACCUGGCUCUGAUACCAACUGUAA